RNAcentral lists this ribosomal RNA (792 nucleotides) under Bacillus licheniformis. RNAcentral's name for it is "bacterial SSU rRNA". It matches the Rfam family "Bacterial small subunit ribosomal RNA", at positions 54 to 829 of the family's 1533-position model. Lineage: Bacteria; Bacillati; Bacillota; Bacilli; Caryophanales; Bacillaceae. The record is from RNAcentral.
AAUGCAGUCGAGCGGAUUGAUGGGAGCUUGCUCCCUGAUAUCAGCGGCGGACGGGUGAGUAACACGUGGGUAACCUGCCUGUAAGACUGGGAUAACUCCGGGAAACCGGGGCUAAUACCGGAUAACUCAUUUCCUCGCAUGAGGAAAUGUUGAAAGGUGGCUUUUAGCUACCACUUACAGAUGGACCCGCGGCGCAUUAGCUAGUUGGUGAGGUAACGGCUCACCAAGGCGACGAUGCGUAGCCGACCUGAGAGGGUGAUCGGCCACACUGGGACUGAGACACGGCCCAGACUCCUACGGGAGGCAGCAGUAGGGAAUCUUCCGCAAUGGACGAAAGUCUGACGGAGCAACGCCGCGUGAGUGAUGAAGGUUUUCGGAUCGUAAAGCUCUGUUGUUAGGGAAGAACAAGUGCCGUUCGAAUAGGGCGGCACCUUGACGGUACCUAACCAGAAAGCCACGGCUAACUACGUGCCAGCAGCCGCGGUAAUACGUAGGUGGCAAGCGUUGUCCGGAAUUAUUGGGCGUAAAGCGCGCGCAGGUGGUUUCUUAAGUCUGAUGUGAAAGCCCACGGCUCAACCGUGGAGGGUCAUUGGAAACUGGGGAACUUGAGUGCAGAAGAGGAAAGUGGAAUUCCAAGUGUAGCGGUGAAAUGCGUAGAUAUUUGGAGGAACACCAGUGGCGAAAGCGACUUUCUGGUCUGUAACUGACACUGACGCGCGAAAGCGUGGGGAGCAAACACGAUUAGAUACCCUGGUAGUCCACGCCGUAACGAUGAGUGCUAAGUGUUAGGGG